AAGACCUUGCACUUUUGGAGCGGCCGAUGUCUGAUUAGCUAGUUGGUGGGGUAAAGGCCUACCAAAGCUUCGAUCAGUAGCUGGUCUGAGAGGACGGCCAGCCACACUGGGACUGAGACACGGCCCAGACUCCUACGGGAGGCAGCGGUGGGGAAUUUUGGACAAUGGGCGCAAGCCUGAUCCAGCCAUGCCGCGUGAGUGAAGAAGGCCUUCGGGUUGUAAAGCUCUUUCAGCCGGGAAGAAAAGGCUGCGACUAAUAAUCGCAGUUCAUGACGGUACCGGAAGAAGAAGCACCGGCUAACUACGUGCCAGCAGCCGCGGUAAUACGUAGGGUGCGAGCGUUAAUCGGAAUUACUGGGCGUAAAGGGUGCGCAGGCGGUUUUGUAAGUCAGAUGUGAAAUCCCCGGGCUUAACCUGGGAACU
RNAcentral lists this ribosomal RNA (423 nucleotides) under uncultured bacterium. RNAcentral's name for it is "bacterial SSU rRNA". It matches the Rfam family "Bacterial small subunit ribosomal RNA", at positions 207 to 622 of the family's 1533-position model. The record is from RNAcentral.